RNAcentral lists this ribosomal RNA (582 nucleotides) under Rhodotorula mucilaginosa. RNAcentral's name for it is "eukaryotic LSU rRNA". It matches the Rfam family "Eukaryotic large subunit ribosomal RNA", at positions 51 to 649 of the family's 3401-position model. The record is from RNAcentral. Lineage: Eukaryota; Fungi; Basidiomycota; Microbotryomycetes; Sporidiobolales; Sporidiobolaceae.
CGGAGGAAAAGAAACUAACAAGGAUUCCCCUAGUAGCGGCGAGCGAAGCGGGAAGAGCUCAAAUUUAUAAUCUGGCACCUUCGGUGUCCGAGUUGUAAUCUCUAGAAAUGUUUUCCGCGUUGGACCGCACACAAGUCUGUUGGAAUACAGCGGCAUAGUGGUGAGACCCCCGUAUAUGGUGCGGACGCCCAGCGCUUUGUGAUACAUUUUCGAAGAGUCGAGUUGUUUGGGAAUGCAGCUCAAAUUGGGUGGUAAAUUCCAUCUAAAGCUAAAUAUUGGCGAGAGACCGAUAGCGAACAAGUACCGUGAGGGAAAGAUGAAAAGCACUUUGGAAAGAGAGUUAACAGUACGUGAAAUUGUUGGAAGGGAAACGCUUGAAGUCAGACUUGCUUGCCGAGCAAUCGGUUUGCAGGCCAGCAUCAGUUUUCCGGGAUGGAUAAUGGUAGAGAGAAGGUAGCAGUUUCGGCUGUGUUAUAGCUCUCUGCUGGAUACAUCUUGGGGGACUGAGGAACGCAGUGUGCCUUUGGCGGGGGUUUCGACCUCUUCACGCUUAGGAUGCUGGUGGAAUGGCUUUAAACGACC